AACGAACGCUGGCGGCAUGCCUAACACAUGCAAGUCGAACGAGACCUUCGGGUCUAGUGGCGCACGGGUGCGUAACGCGUGGGAACCUGCCCUUAGGUUCGGAAUAACUCCCCGAAAGGGGUACUAAUACCGGAUAAUGUCUUCGGACCAAAGAUUUAUCGCCUUUGGAUGGGCCCGCGUUGGAUUAGCUAGUUGGUAGGGUAAAAGCCUACCAAGGCGACGAUCCAUAGCUGGUCUGAGAGGAUGAUCAGCCACACUGGGACUGGGACACGGCCCAGACUCCUACGGGAGGCAGCAGUGGGGAAUAUGGGACAAUGGGCGAAAGCCUGAGCCAGCAAUGCCGCGUGAGUGAUGAAGGCCUUAGGGUUGUAAAGCUCUUUUACCCGGGAUGAUAAUGACAGUACCGGGAGAAUAAGCACCGGCUAACUCCGU
This 432-nucleotide ribosomal RNA is filed under the name uncultured bacterium. RNAcentral's name for it is "partial 16S ribosomal RNA". It matches the Rfam family "Bacterial small subunit ribosomal RNA", at positions 29 to 506 of the family's 1533-position model. The record is from RNAcentral.